Drosophila miranda is the source of this 327-nucleotide long non-coding RNA. RefSeq lists it as uncharacterized. The transcript is spliced from 3 exons. NCBI's taxonomy places the organism in Eukaryota, Metazoa, Arthropoda, Insecta, Diptera, Drosophilidae. The record is from RefSeq and is a predicted model, not a curated record.
AGUAGGCUGACUAUUGUUGUCAUGCCGGGUUAUACUAGAAAUAUCCAGUCUUGGCUUGGAGUUGUUUGGAACAACACGAAAAAUCAGUCGAGCAACGUUGCAAUCAUUUUCGACAAUUUGAAUUAUGUAAAGUUAUUCGGGAUACAUACCUUAAGAAAUUUUUCGUUUUCCUGCGUCAAACUUCGAAGCUUUUUGUUUGGGAAUGUGGAAACUGAGCUGAAGUUGUUUAAAUAUGUACGAAACGAUACUAUCUAAAAUUGUGCAGCAGCUUAUGUAAAUGGCGGAAUCUGAAAUUUCAAUAUUAAAAAUAUUAAAUAUUGCUAGGAU